CCCCUAGACGUUCUGGGCUGCACGCGCGCUACAAUAAUACGCCCAGCGAGUAUCACCGAGCUCGAAAGGGCAAGGUAAACAAUAGAAAAGGUACUGUAAUGGUUAUAGAUCCUUGUAAUUAUUGAUCUUCAACGAGGAAUUCCUAGUAAGUAUGUGUCAUCAUCACGCACUGAUUACGUCCCUGCCCUUUGUACACACCGCCCGUCGCUCCUACCGAUUGGGUGUGCUGGUGAAAUGUUCGGAUCGGCCGUUUGUCGCGGUUUCCGCGUCAUGUGGCUGAGAAGUUCAUUAAACCCUCCCACCUAGAGGAAGGAGAAGUCGUAACA
RNAcentral lists this ribosomal RNA (326 nucleotides) under uncultured eukaryote. RNAcentral's name for it is "partial 18S ribosomal RNA". It matches the Rfam family "Eukaryotic small subunit ribosomal RNA", at positions 1470 to 1796 of the family's 1831-position model. The record is from RNAcentral.